GCUUAAAUAUUGAGCUUUCGCUUUGAUAAUGCGACGAGCGUUAUCGUCGGAAAGUGGGUUCUUGGGGUUCUUUGAUCUGGGUUUUGGUUUGUUGAGGUUCUUGCUGUUGCCGUCGCUGAGUGUCCAUGGGUCUGGUGUGACGGAGCAGGAGACUAUGGUGGGUCUCGGUUUGGGUUUUUUGGUAUGUUUGUGAGAUGGAGAUUUUAAUGGAGUUGAGCAGAGGAAUGAAGAUUGCAGAGCUUCCAUUGAUUGAUUUGGAAAUUUUGAGAGGGCAAUUGAGCACACAGGCUACUCAGUGUAAAGAAGAUAG
RNAcentral lists this unclassified non-coding RNA (310 nucleotides) under Hevea brasiliensis (rubber tree). Lineage: Eukaryota; Viridiplantae; Streptophyta; Magnoliopsida; Malpighiales; Euphorbiaceae. The record is from RNAcentral.